This 1347-nucleotide ribosomal RNA is filed under the name Scythropochroa radialis. RNAcentral describes it as "eukaryotic LSU rRNA". It matches the Rfam family "Eukaryotic large subunit ribosomal RNA", at positions 664 to 1859 of the family's 3401-position model. Lineage: Eukaryota; Metazoa; Arthropoda; Insecta; Diptera; Sciaridae. The record is from RNAcentral.
GACCAAGAAGUCUAACAUGUGUGCGAGUCAUUGAGUAUAUUGUUGAAACUUAAGGGCGUAAUUAAAAUAACUAUUAUUUUAAAUGGGAUUACAAGUGAAUUAAUUUUCAUUUCUUCAUCCCGGGGCGUUCUAUACGAACAUGAUACAAGCAAUUGAAUCCUCUGUUCAAGAGCGUACCUUGAGCAUACAUGCUGUGACCCGAAAGAUGGUGAACUAUACCUGAUCAGAUCGAAGCCAGGAGAAAUUCUGGUGGAGGAUCGAAACAGUUCUGACGUGCAAAUCGAUUGUCAGAAUUGGGUAUAGGGGCGAAAGACCAAUCGAACCAUCUAGUAGCUGGUUCCCUCCGAAGUUUCCCUCAGGAUAGCUGGCGCAAUGACAUAUUUAAUAUAUAAUCUUAUCUGGUAAAGCGAAUGAUUAGAGGCCUUGGGGCCGAAACGACCUCAACCUAUUCUCAAACUUUAAAUGGGUAAGAACCUCAUCUUUCUUGAUCUGAAGAUAUUGGGGUUUAGAUAUAUUGUGCCCAGUGGGCCACUUUUGGUAAGCAGAACUGGCGCUGUGGGAUGAACCAAACAUGAUGUUACGGCGCCUAAAUUAAUGACUCAUAUUGAUACCAUGAAAGGCGUUGGUUGCUUAAAACAGCAGGACGGUGGACAUGGAAGUCGUAAUCCGCUAAGGAGUGUGUAACAACUCACCUGCCGAAGCAACUAGCCCUUAAAAUGGAUGGCGCUCAAGUCAUAUGCCUAUACAUCAUCGCUAGAAUAAAAAAAUAUAUUGUUUAUCAUUAUGAUAAUCAUUGUGAAAUUCUAGUGAGUAGGAGGGUACAAUGGUGUGCGCAGAAGUGUUUGGCGUGAGCCUGCAUGAAGCCGCCAUUGGCACAGAUCUUGGUGGUAGUAGCAAAUAAUCGAAUGAGAUCUUGGAGGACUGAAGUGGAGAAGGGUUUCGUGUGAACAGUGGUUGAUCACGAGUUAGUCGGUCCUAAGCUUUAUGCGAAAGCUGUUUAAUAUUAUAUGUUAUUUUAAUUAUACCAUAAUAAUAUAAUAAAAAAAGCGAAAGGGAAUACGGUUCCAAUUCCGUAACCUGUUGAGUAUACGUUUGUUUAUUAAAAAUGGGUCUUAUUACACUCAUCCUGGCAACAGGAACAACCAUAGAGAAGCUUUCGAGAGAUACUGGAAGAGUUUUCUUUUCUGCUAAACAAACGUAUCACCAUGGAAGUCUUUUAUAGAGAGAUAUGGUGAAUGGCUUGGAAGAGCAUGACAUUUACUGUUGUGUCAGUAUUUUCUCCUUGGACCUUGAAAAUCUAUGGUAGGGCCACGCAAACUUCUCAACAGACCGUACCGAUAUCCGCAG